GCGCCUGUAGCUCAAUUGGAUAGAGCAGGUCGGUUCUAACGAUCAGGCUGUGGGUUCGAGUCCCUCCAGGCGUA
RNAcentral lists this transfer RNA (74 nucleotides) under bacterium. RNAcentral describes it as "tRNA-Arg". It matches the Rfam family "tRNA". From Rfam's summary of the family: Transfer RNA (tRNA) molecules are approximately 80 nucleotides in length. Their secondary structure includes four short double-helical elements and three loops (D, anti-codon, and T loops). The record is from RNAcentral.